Molecule: ribosomal RNA, 433 nt
Filed under: uncultured bacterium
Lineage: Bacteria
Description: partial 16S ribosomal RNA
Rfam family: Bacterial small subunit ribosomal RNA
Source: RNAcentral
AGCGAACGCUGGCGGCAGGCCUAACACAUGCAAGUCGAACGAACUCUUCGGAGUUAGUGGCGGACGGGUGCGUAACACGUGGGAACGUGCCUUUAGGUUCGGAAUAACUCAGGGAAACUUGUGCUAAUACCGAAUGUGCCCCCGGGGGGAAAGAUUCAUCACCUUUAGGGCGCCCGGGGUCGGAUUAGCUGGUGGGUGGGGAAAAGGUUCACCAAGGGGACGACAAGUAGCUGGUCUGAGAGGAUGAUCAGCCACAUUGGGACUGAGACACGGCCCAAACUCCUACGGGAGGCAGCAGUGGGGAAUCUUGCGCAAUGGGCGAAAGCCUGACGCAGCCAUGCCGCGUGAAUGAUGAAGGUCUUAGGAUUGUAAAAUUCUUUCACCGGGGACGAUAAUGACGGUACCCGGAGAAGAAGCCCCGGCUAACUUCGUG